UAAAAAGUUUUUUAGGGUUCCGCUAUUUAAAGCAUAUUUGGGAUAUAGCAUGCAAAUAUGUCUGAUUUAGGGCUGGUCCGAGAAAAAACGGCAGGAAUGCUACACGGAAGGAUAAAAGCCUGGGAGAU
This 128-nucleotide small RNA is filed under the name Clostridium sp. RNAcentral's name for it is "Guanidine-I sequence". It matches the Rfam family "Guanidine-I riboswitch aptamer". From Rfam's summary of the family: This family represents a conserved RNA structure found upstream of the ykkC and yxkD genes in Bacillus subtilis and related genes in other bacteria. The function of this family is unclear although it has been suggested that it may function to switch on efflux pumps and detoxification systems in response to harmful environmental molecules. Nelson showed that this riboswitch senses and responds to guanidine and it was renamed Guanidine-I riboswitch. The record is from RNAcentral. Lineage: Bacteria; Bacillati; Bacillota; Clostridia; Eubacteriales; Clostridiaceae. RNAcentral also lists the same sequence under 1 other name.